GGAAGUACGAAGACACUGCGUGAGAACGCCUAUUAGCCACCGCCGCCGUUCUCCUUCAUCAUCAUUCACUGUCGCCCUCGCUUUCUUCUCCACUUCGAAGCCAUUGACGUCGAUCGGCCAUCAUCGAGGCAGACUGCUGUGACUGAACUGGAGGAGGAAAGCAAUUCUAAUUAGCUGCCCACCUUUCUCUGUCUGUCCAAGUCGCUUCGACUAAUACUUCUUGGUCAGGUCAAGCUAGAUCAGCCCAACUGAAAAGUUGUGAUAGACCUGGAAAAUGGCAGACAUAUGGAUUUGGCUGUGAUCCAUUUUAUGGUAAUCUCACUCACAACGAUAAGACAAGGGCAUUCCCUCGCAAAGAACAAAGGGUGCAAGUAAUAGGGGUUCCUGGGAUUCUGGGACACCAACAGCAGCUCCUCUGUUCCUCUCUCCUUCUAGCAAAAGCUUCUCCCGUCCUUUCUUUCAAGUUUUGACUGAGAAAAAAAGCACAAAGCCUUCGUCUGACACAUUUUGCUAGAUUGGGUUGUUCUUGAUUAUGGCUGUAAGGGCUACAAGGCGAUUAUUGAGAGAUGUUUUGUACAAAAGGUUAAUUUCAAGUCCUGUUGGAGGUGUUAGACACUGUUCUUCUGUUGCAGAAGCUCCUCCUAAAAUCCCUCACUUCUCCAAAAAAGGGAGGCUGUUGACGGGACUGACCAUAGGACUGGCCAUUGCAGGAGGUGCUUAUGUAAGUACAGUAGACGAAGCAACUUUCUGUGGUUGGCUAUUCAAUGCAACAAAACUUGUCAAUCCAAUUUUUUCCCUUCUUGAUGCUGAGGUUGCUCAUACACUUGCCAUAUCAGCUGCUGCUCGUGGUUGGGUUCCUAGAGAGAAGAGGUCUGACCCUUCUAUUUUAGGAUUGGAAGUGUGGGGAAGGAAGUUCUCCAAUCCUAUAGGUCUUGCUGCCGGCUUUGACAAAAAUGCUGAAGCUAUUGAAGGCUUGCUUGGGUUGGGUUUUGGCUUUGUAGAGGUUGGCUCUGUUACCCCUGUUCCACAAGAGGGUAAUCCGAAGCCACGUAUUUUCAGACUGCGUGAGGAAAGUGCGAUUAUCAAUCGCUGUGGCUUUAACAGUGAAGGCAUUGUUGUUGUUGCAAAGAGAUUGGGUGCACAGCAUGGAAAGAGAAUGUUGGAUGAAACUUCGAGCACUUCAUCUUCCCCAAGCGAUGGCAUGAAACAAGGAGGCAAAGCUGGACCUGGCAUUCUUGGGGUUAAUCUUGGAAAGAACAAGACAAGUGAAGAUGCUACUGCAGAUUAUGUACAAGGGGUUCAUACGUUAUCCCAGUAUGCUGAUUACUUGGUUAUUAAUGUUUCAUCACCCAAUACUCCUGGAUUGCGCAUGCUUCAGGGAAGAAAACAAUUAAAGGACCUUGUUAAGAAGGUUCAAGCUGCUCGUGACGAAAUGCAAUGGGGUGAGGAAGGCCCACCUCCUCUGCUUGUGAAAAUUGCACCUGACUUGUCGAAGGAAGACCUUGAAGAUAUUGCAGCAGUGUGUAAAUGCUUUUAGUUUGAUUUCUGUUUCUCUAAUUCGACAUAUUGCAUUCUUAUAGUUCUUUGUGAAUGUAGGUUGCUCUCGCACUCCGCUUAGAUGGACUGGUAUGAUUUGUGCCCAUCAAGAAAGAAAAAUACUUUUGUUAUCUCUAAAUAUUGAUGCUUUAUUCUUCAGAAAUCUUGAUUUCUCUCAAAUGGGCUAAGCACUUCUGUUUAAGAUUUUCAAGUAUAUUUACAUGCUGAUAGCUAGUAUGGUUGAUAGAAAAUUUUUAUAGUUUAGUACGUGUUACACAGGUUACUGAUUCAUUGCUUUGAAAUUUUCUUGCAGCUUUUCAUGGCCAUGUAAUAUUACACUCUGUGGCAUGUAGUAAAUAAGAGGAUUAUAAUUCCAUUGUCAUUUCCUAAUGUCAUGCUGUAUCUUUCUCUCUUGGAGUGUGGGUGUGGGUGUGCGCCCCUUCUCUUUCGGUUGCAUGUCACUUUCCUCCUUCGGUUGGCUUGCAUGUCAAGAAUUAACUUUUUGCAGAUGUGGAUGUUCACGCAUUUAGAUGACUGUAUAAGGUUAUUGCCAUUGGAAUUUGCUCUCAAUGAAAUGAAGCUAUCUUUAUGUGUUGAAGUGCAGGUUCCACUCAGUGGUGCACAUUGUACAAGCAUCCGAAAUAUAAAUUUGUUUCCCUAAAAUUCUUAUCCUUAGCUGAACUCAGUAGAAUGAAUUGAGAAAUAGCUGAACUCAGUAGAAUGAAUUGAGAAAUUUGAUAUCCCAGAGCUUUAUUCUGUUCUGAAAAGAAAAUGAUGCAUUCAUUAUGUCCAAUUUUAUGGACUUUUGGUUGAUGUGCCCAAAUGCUGAUGUAUUUUAUUGUUUUUUUCUAUUUUACAUGCAACUUAGUUAUUGCUUUCUAAUUGAUUCAGAUUUUAAUUUUUCUGCUUUGUUUGUAGAAUAGAUUAUAUCAAAUACAACCAUAUCAAGGCCAGAUUCUAUAAUGAAGUACCCUGUGGCUGAGGAAGCAGGCGGUUUAAGUGGCAAACCUCUAUUCAGUCUAUCUACUGAUGUCUUAAAAGAGAUGUAUAUUUUGACAAGGGGAAAGAUUCCUUUAAUAGGUUGUGGGGGUAUUAGCAGUGGUGAGGAUGCAUACAAGAAAAUACGAGCUGGAGCGACUCUUGUUCAGCUUUAUACGACAUUUGCCUACGGUGGACCUGCCUUAAUUCCUCAGUUAAAGACUGAACUGGCAGAAUGCUUGCAAAGGGAUGGUUUCAAGUCUAUCCUUGAAGCAGUCGGUGCAGAUUGUAGAUAGUACCAUCUGUCUCCAUGUCUUCUAAGAAUGAGUGAGAAGACAACCUAUAUGCAUAGGGUGGACACCAUAACAAAGGUUCUUUAGAUGUCUGUCUCAUUUAUCAAGCAAUGCAUUACCUGGAUAAUUGCAGAAGGUAUGCUUUGAUGUCAGUGGAUUGCCAAUUGGUGUAUUCAUAAAACUGAUUAUGGAAGGCAUGAUUUGAUAAUAAUGGGUUGAUUGAUAUGGUCGUAUUUUCUGUGGCAAGCAUGGACUGGUAGCUACUUUGCUGUGGCAGAUUUUUUAUUUUUUUAUUUUUUUAU
This 3109-nucleotide unclassified non-coding RNA is filed under the name Hevea brasiliensis (rubber tree). The record is from RNAcentral. Lineage: Eukaryota; Viridiplantae; Streptophyta; Magnoliopsida; Malpighiales; Euphorbiaceae.